RNAcentral lists this ribosomal RNA (265 nucleotides) under uncultured archaeon. RNAcentral's name for it is "partial 16S ribosomal RNA". It matches the Rfam family "Archaeal small subunit ribosomal RNA", at positions 719 to 982 of the family's 1478-position model. The record is from RNAcentral.
ACAGUCACACAUUAGAUACCCGUGUAGUCCUAGCCGUAAACGAUACUCGCUAGGUGUCGGCCACGGUGCGACCGUUGUCGGUGCCGUAGGGAAGCCGUGAAGCGAGCCACCUGGGAAGUACGGCCGCAAGGCUGAAACUUAAAGGAAUUGGCGGGGGAGCACCACAACGGGUGGAGCUUGCGGUUUAAUUGGAUUCAACGCCGGAAAUCUUACCGGGACCGACAGCAACAUGAAGGCCAAGCUGAAGACUUUGCCGGAUUAGCUG